Molecule: long non-coding RNA, 1845 nt
Organism: Physeter macrocephalus (sperm whale)
Lineage: Eukaryota; Metazoa; Chordata; Mammalia; Artiodactyla; Physeteridae
Exons: 2
Source: RefSeq, a predicted model, not a curated record
CGGAGAAGGACACGUGAAUUUGAAGAUAGAGACAGGUCUCAUCGGGAGGAAAUGGAGGUGAGAGUUUCACAGCUGCUGGCAGUAACUGGCAAGAAGACAACAAGACCCUAGUCCUGGAUCCAGUUUAGGUGGUGGUGAUGACCUCAAACUUCGCUAAUUAGUGGCACAAAAGAUGUGCCCCCCCACCCCGUCUUUACAUAUUCAUUUCUAGUCUGCAGAAAUAAUUGAUUAAAAGACCAGAAACUGUGAUAACUGGAGGUACUACGGUCUAUUUCUCAACCUUAGGCAGUAACAAGACAUCACAACUGCCAUGGUUUUGCACUAUGAUAUAAUACCUGCAUUUCUAAUUUUGUAUGCAUGUAGCCAGUAAUUAUUUGAAAUUUUCUUCUAUGCAAGCUUACCUUGUUGACAUUUUAGUGAGUUGAAACUAUCCACUUGUAAAGCUCUUUUUUUCCACCAUUUUAAUUUAAAAGUUCAUGUCAUUUUAAAACAGGUCAAGAAAUUAAAUUUUUUAUCAGAGGGUUUUUUCCCCUAAUCAGUUGCUCUAUUUUUUUUUUUUUAAUUUUAGAUGUGUUGGUUAUACAGCUUCAUUUUAGAUAAAUGUUCUUGUUUUUUUUGUUUUGUUUCCCGUUUCCUUCUGUGUUUUUAUAGUCUAUAGCAUUUUAAAACUGCUGAUGGUUUGCAUUAUUUACAAGCUAAAAACCUAGUAGCAUAGAGCUGUCUGCCACACGUUCUAACACAAAGUUUACAGUUGUUAAAGUUGCAGUAUCCUUUUAAAUGUUGAUAAUCAGCUCCUUUUCUUUCCUUUUUAAACAGAAAAAAAUUUUAAUUGGUAUUAACUCUGGUCUGCCCCAGAUCUGUUUUAGAUUCUGUUCUGUAUUCAUGAGUUUGUGUGGAGAUAUUCUCCAUAGAUGAUAAUAUUCUACUGAAAUGCCUAAAGAAGUCACAGGCUGGCUUCUGUUUUAUUCAGGGAUUUUUUUUUUAAAAGUCAAUCAGAAAAGGGAUACUGGAGCUUCUUCAUGUAUGUAACAGCAUAUUAAACUGGAGACAGUGAUGAAUCAGCUACAAAGGUAAUGUUGUAUUAAAAUCAUGUUUAAGAUAGCUGCUUUUAUGUGUAUUUUAUAAUGCAUGCUUUUGUAAAAACAAUUCUGGGUGAUGAAAGAUUAGUCUUAGAAAAUGUACAUCUGUGCAGAGGUUACAUUUUCUUCCAUUAGUUAUUCUGGAAAAAAAUUCACAGGUUAUAUAUAUGGUAUUUUCCAAAAGGACUAUUAAUAGAACCUUUUGAGAUGAAUUAGUAUAAGAAUAUUUUUAAAAUAGGCUCACUAUCAAAUUGAUUGCAACUUUUUUUUUAAUACAAGACUGGAAAAAAGUGCUAAGUCAUUUGGCACCUCCUUACAAAUAUUUUUCAUGGUCACAUUCAUUAAAUGUUGCUACAUUUCUGAAUUUUUGCAAAAAUGUAUUUUAUCAAAAUAGAAUGGCAUUAUUUUAAAGAGUUGGAAAAACUGACAUGGUCAAUUCAGAAAAUGAACUGAAGUCUGAAUAAGGUCAUUGCAUUUAAAACAUAUAUGUAUACUUGACUGAUGAGGGAGGUGUGACUUUCAUUGUAUAUAGGUCUUGUAAUUCAUAAACAUAUCCUGUAUCUCAGAAGAAAAAUAUUUGUUAUAUAUUUGAAGUCAUGCAUGGUAAAGGAGUGUGUUUAAAUUGUUAUAAACAAUAAUGCAUCAUAAAAGACCAUGCUGAUCUUGUGUAACUAAGUACUAUGAAUGAAUUUGGUUGGUAUUUGGUGUUGUGCAGCUCACAUGUUUACACACUCAGUGCCCUAAUUUCCCCUGAGGGAAUCACCUU